CUAAUACAUGCUAAAGCCCCGACUUCGGAAGGGGUGUGUUUAUUAGAUAAAAAGCCAAUGCCCUUCGGGGCUCCUUUGGUGAUUCAUGAUAACCUUUCUGAUCGCAAAUGGCCUCCGCGCCGGCGACGGUUCAUUCAAAUUUCUGCCCUAUCAACUUUCGAUGGUACGGUAGUGGCCUACCAUGGUGUCAACGGGUAACGGGGAAUUAGGGUUCGAUUCCGGAGAGGGAGCCUGAGAAACGGCUACCACAUCCAAGGAAGGCAGCAGGCGCGCAAAUUACACAAUGUCGACUCGACGAUGUAGUGACAAUAAAUACUGAUACAGGGCUCUUUUGGGUCUUGUAAUUGGAAUGAGUACAAUUUAAACCUCUUAACGAGGAACAAUUAGAGGGCAAGUCUGGUGCCAGCAGCCGCGGUAAUUCCAGCUCUAAUAGCGUAUAUUAAAGUUGUUGCAGUUAAAAAGCUCGUAGUUGAACCUUUGGCUUGGCGAGCACGUCCGCCUCACCGCGUGCACGUGACCCGCCGAGCCUUUUCUUCUGGAGAACCGCAUGCCCUUCACUGGGUGUGUUGGGGACCAGGACUUUUACUUUGAAAAAAUUAGAGUGUUCAAAGCAGGCCUUUGCUCGAAUACGUUAGCAUGGAAUAAUGGAAUAGGACGUGCGGUCCUAUUUUGUUGGUUUCUAGGACCGCCGUAAUGAUUAAUAGGGACAGUCGGGGGCAUCAGUAUUCAAUUGUCAGAGGUGAAAUUCUUGGAUUUAUUGAAGACUAACUACUGCGAAAGCAUUUGCCAAGGAUGUUUUCAUUAAUCAGUGAACGAAAGUUAGGGGAUCGAAGACGAUCAGAUACCGUCGUAGUCUUAACCAUAAACUAUGCCAGCUGGGGAUCGGACGGUGUUUCUAUUGUGACCCGUUCGGCACCCUACGAGAAAUCAAAGCGUUUG
This 939-nucleotide ribosomal RNA is filed under the name Tremateia arundicola. RNAcentral describes it as "SSU rRNA". It matches the Rfam family "Eukaryotic small subunit ribosomal RNA", at positions 164 to 1109 of the family's 1831-position model. Lineage: Eukaryota; Fungi; Ascomycota; Dothideomycetes; Pleosporales; Didymosphaeriaceae. The record is from RNAcentral.